CAAGCGGAGGAACAUGUGGUUUAAUUCGAUGAUACGCGAGGAACCUUUACCCGGGCUCAAACGGGGAGUGGCGCAGGCAGAGACGCCUGUUUCCCACGGGACACUCCCCGAGGUGCUGCAUGGUUGUCGUCAGCUCGUGCCGUGAGGUGUCGGCUUAAGUGCCAUAACGAGCGCAACCCCCGCGUGCAGUUGCUAACAGUCAACGCUGAGGACUCUGCACGGACUGCCGGCGCAAGCCGCGAGGAAGGCGGGGAUGACGUCAAAUCAGCACGGCCCUUACGUCCGGGGCGACACACGUGUUACAAUGGGUGGUACAGCGGGAAGCCAGGCGGCGACGCCGAGCGGAACCCGAAAUCCACUCUCAGUUCGGAUCGGAGUCUGCAACCCGACUCCGUGAAGCUGGAUUCGCUAGUAAUCGCGCAUCAGCCAU
RNAcentral lists this ribosomal RNA (430 nucleotides) under uncultured bacterium. RNAcentral describes it as "bacterial SSU rRNA". It matches the Rfam family "Bacterial small subunit ribosomal RNA", at positions 926 to 1355 of the family's 1533-position model. The record is from RNAcentral.